Long non-coding RNA from Mesocricetus auratus (golden hamster), 825 nucleotides. RefSeq lists it as uncharacterized. The transcript is spliced from 3 exons. The record is from RefSeq and is a predicted model, not a curated record. NCBI's taxonomy places the organism in Eukaryota, Metazoa, Chordata, Mammalia, Rodentia, Cricetidae.
CGGGCGGGUGUGUUUACCAGAGGGAACGAAGAAACCGGAGCUCGCCCGGGCCGCGGUCGCCACCGCCGACAAGGGAGGCGAGACCCGGGUGGCCUGAGCAGUUGUCAGAAAUGGGAAGUCUCCGUCUAAGAGACAAGGUCCUCCUCUGGCUGGCACCCAGCUUCAGCAUCUCUCUCCUCCAGCGCAAGAGACCUGAAGAAAUUCCAGUUCGUUGUUGGCCAUUAUUUUAGUAAUGACCAAAGGAGGAGCUUUAGGGGUGUGACCGCUUCCCUGGUGGACUAUGUGCCUCUCAGGACAGGCGCCUGCAUGCACCGCCCCUCUAGACACCCACCCUCCGGACCCUGCCUGGCAAAUCCUGCUCGUCUUUGACUCUCGAUAGACUAUCACUCUGCGGGAGGCAGCCUUCACUGGACACCCAGACUAUGAGCACAUUCCUUCUCAUAGCCACACAGCUUCUGGAACACCUCUCGUCGCAUUUCACUUAGUGAAGGGUCUCUGGAUUACAGUUCAAGGAGACACCGGGGACAACCUAAGAAAUUUAUUAGAAAUACUAGUGCCAUGGGAAGUGGCAAGUGGAGGUUCUGGGAGGACCCCAAUACUAUAGACAGAGGUUCUGGGAGGACCCCAAUACUAUAGACAGACAGCAUGGAAGAGGCCAAGUGAGGGGCCCUUCUUACGGGUCUCAGAGGAAGAGGAAAAUUCCAUGUACCAGUAAUUGAUGAGUAUCCACAGCACAGGCCUGCCUCUGUUUCCCAGGGAUUGUGGAUAGGGGGUCUUGCAUAAAGCAAGCAAGAAAGGAAUCUUGUCACUGUGUGACUUAGAGGA